GAGUGCAGUGAUGGGCAGUCGGGAGACGUGGCUGGUCUGUAACACUUCACGAGAGAGGACGGACCCCGCACCUCAUUUUACGUUGUUUCCACGGCAUGCACACUUCUGUUAGGUGCGGGAGAGCAAACACCAAAAUCAGAGCACUUUCCCUGCUCGCAGAAAAGGUUAAGAUCUAAGGGGGCAGGCAGUCACCAAAUACACUAAACGGCUAGUGUGUGCGAGAUUCUGAGGCUAAGGUCGUGACCAAGACAGCAAGACCCUGCCCUCAAAGAGCGUAAAUUCUGGCGGGGGAGACAGACAAUGUAUUUUUUUAAUGGGCUUUGGGUGUUGUUAAGGGCGGCGAAGGGAGUGAAAUGGAGGAGUGUCACGGGGAGUGACGGUGGUGGAGGAGGUGAGCUGGGAAAGCCCUCCAGGGGCGUUUGUGGCAGCAGCAGGAAGGUGCCUCGAGGGCAGCAGUGCCCGCGGCAGGAGGAGCGCCCGCGAGCGCCGGCGAGCGCCGGGGGGUGCUGGGCGCCGGUGGGCGGGAGCGUGAAGGGCCAGGGCCCGGGCCCGGGGCAGGGGCGGGCCUCGUGGAGCCCAGCGCCGCCUGAGGCUUCACGCUGCCGGUAACAGCGGAGGCGCCCUUGGCAGGUUUCGCUCGGGGAGGGCGCGUGACGUGCUGUGGUCUAUAACCUCCGGAGCAGCGGGCCCGCCGCCCGGAGGGGGUUGGCUGGGGCGGGCGGGCGGCCUGCGUGCGAGUGGUGAGGAAGAGAAGAAAGCGCGAUGGCAGCGUCUGUGGCGGAGGCGCUGAACGGCGGCCGGUGUUGCCUUUCUGCGGUGGGCGCCAGUGCCGCCAUGCUAGGGCCCCGGGAAAGCGGCGAACAAAUCGUGCGCUGCGAGUCAGGAGGGCUGCGAGCAGCAGGGCUAAGCGACGUGCGUUCGCGUUCAGAGCCCGGGCGAGAGGUGGGGAGGAGAGAUCCGAGGAGGGAGACGGAAGUUAAUCAUCUCGGAGAAGAAUACAACUCGGAAGGUGUGACAGGCCCGUGUGUGGAAUGGCCAUCUGAGAUGCGGCGCACGCCCAGCUGUAUGAACGGAACAGAGUGGGGUUGUUCCAGGCAAAUGUCACAGAGCAAAAAAGGAACAAGGGACAAUGGUAUUUGCAGGGGCGUGGCGAUCGCGUCGAACCACCAACUCUCAGACGAGAAGGGAAACUAGGGCUCGAGUGGGGUGGCUGGUGAAAAGGCAGGGCCAGCAGACGAGGUCAGACAACUACAGGACAGGUGCGGAGAGAAGGUGCUGGUGUCGGGGGCCACUCACACUCGGACGGACGGGGAGCCGUUACCAGUAAUGAUCGCAGGGGUCGCGGCGGGUGAGCACAGGCUUCCAGAGUUGAGACGUGAUGGGGGAAAGCAGGUGGAGCUGGGGUAGCCAGUUCGAGGCCGGGUCUUGGGUGGCUCCUCCGCAGGUGUUAAAGGUGCGGGAAUGAGGUGCCGGCGUGGUGGGACCUCCAGGUGCUGCCCGAGAAGACGACAGAUAGACAGAACUCGUGGUGGGGAGACGUGAUCUUCGGAGGAGGGAAGGAGGCUUGGAUCCGUCAGUAACCCAGGAAGGUAAGUGGAUGCAGCCACCCCUCCCCGGCUCCCACGCCAGGGAGCUACCGCCGGCCUGGCGCUGGGGGGCUGAGCGGCCCAGGGGCUGGGCGAGGAACGGCUCUCGUGAGGUCGGGGCCGUGGCACCUUCAGCGGAGAACACUGCAGAAGAGGUAGCUUCCAAGGGAACAUGACGAGGCUGCUUUUGAGUAUUUUGUUGCCUUUUCUCACUCGUCUUGAUGUUGGAUUUAACUAUGAGCAUGUUUAUUUCACACGUUCAUAAAUAUGUUCAGGUUUGAGGGGAAUUGACUACAGACAUUUUGCACCUGUUGAGAAGACAAUUUCUCAACUCUGCUUAGCAUCACAAAAACGAAUUUUAUGUUCUAUCAAGUGGGCAAGCAUUUUCAGUAGUUUAUGAUCUUUCAUAAAAUGGAAAGUGUUGGGAAGUAAAUACUUCCGUUUCCAAGUAACAGGGGAGGAGAGGGAAGUUGCCAUGUUAUCAGACAGUAGAAGAUAUUUUGUUGAAUAAUGUACAGAAUGAGCGGUCUGGCGCUGUAUCGCCUUACCUUUCAAAGGAUGAAACUGCUGUCUCCUAAAGGAGUCCCACACUUCUACCAAAUUUUAAAAAAACAGUAUGUGUUUGUGUAUUGAUAUGUUUAUUCCCAUUUUACCAGAAAGAACACAAUUUAUCUACUAAUCAGAAAAAAGUUUUGCAACCUCAAAACAAACGCUUACUCGCCAAGCUGUAAAUAGCUUAAAUGGCUUAAAUUGGAGAUUUCUGUGGGAUUUUGAGCAGUAAAUAGGACAAUUCCUAAACUCUUCAGUUAUAGAAUAUUCAAGGCAUACAAAAGUGUUGUUUUUCUACACAGCAUAACUGAAAUGUAGCUUAACCAGUGAUUUACAAGGCAGUCAAAUACCAAAGCUGGAAAGCAUUUAGGGAACCAUAAAUUAUGUAUUUUCUAUACCUUCGAAAACCUUUCAGCUGUUAUCAAUCUUUUGUUUUUAUUGGCCAAGUAUGACUGCCGUAAAAUGACCGUAUUCACUAGCCCGCCACCUAAAAAGCAUUAAGCAUUCAUUUACAGAAUGAACGAACGAGCACGUCUGCUUUGGUUCUUGAAAUAGAAUUACCUCGUGUAAGUAUAUUUUCUUUAUUUACAAAGUAUUAGGCUUAUUUUACAUGACUGCGCGCGCUUACAGUCCCGGCAUCACGAAGCAGGAGUUCCCGACCCUGUAGCGCCCAAGGAUGCCCAGUUCCAGCCAUAAAAGUGCAAGCUGGGUAGAAUGUUUGGUGCUUGGAUUUCGGAGGUGCUAGGGGGGCAGAGAGGGACCGCUUCCUGGUGUCUGGGGGAAGGAGAAGCGCCCCCGCCCCCCGUUCGGAACGCUCUCCAUCUCCAGUCCCUCAGAGGAAGUCGUGGCGAAGAAGCUGCUUCCAGGCCCCGCGCGCGCCUCUCCGGGUGCCCUUCCCGCUCCCGCGGCGUCUUCGUCCGGGAGGCUCUUCGCGGCGGCCGGACCCGGCCAACUUCCCUUCCAGCCGAGGCGCCUCCUUCCGCUCAGCGCCGCGCGGCUCCGCUCGGGACGUGUCCGCGCCUCCGCGACCACCGGAGCCACUUCGGGGCGAUGCUGGGGCCACCGGUCUGGGCGCUGGUGGCCGGCGUCCUGCUGGCGCUGUCGCCGGGCCGGGCGGGGGGCGCCCCGAGGGCGGGCCGGCGGCCGGCGCGGGCGCGGGGCUGCGCGGACCGGCCCGAGGAGCUCCUGGAGCAGCUGUACGGGCGGCUGGCGGCCGGCGUGCUCGGCGCCUUCCACCACACGCUGCAGCUGGGCCCGCGCGAGCAGGCGCGCAACGCCAGCUGCCCGGCCGGGGGCAGGCCCGCCGACCGCCGCUUCCGGCCGCCCACCAACCUGCGCAGCGUGUCGCCCUGGGCCUACAGGAUCUCCUACGACCCCGGCCGCUUCCCCAGGUACCUGCCCGAGGCCUACUGCCUGUGCCGGGGCUGCCUGACCGGGCCGCGCGGGGAGGAGGACGUGCGGCUGCGCAGCGCCCUGGUGCUCGUGCCCGCGGUGGUCCUGCGCCGGACCCCGGCCUGCGCGGGCGGCCGCGCAGUCUACACCGAGGAGUACCUCACCAUCCCCGUGGGCUGCACCUGCAUGCCCGGGCCAGACAAGGAUGCAGACGGUGCCAACUCCAGCUUGGACAAGCCGGCCCGGCCCUGAGCACCCGGCCCCAACCCGGGGACCCCGAAGCCCCGAGGAAACGUGGACGGAGCACCCAGCGCUGGACUGGACUGCACUGCCUGCGAGCCUGACCUCCUGCAUCCCCCGGGCUUCCUCUUGGGCAGGAGCGCAGGGCGGAGUUUUUAGAAGCGCAGGUGGAACCCUCACCCUCUAGCCCGCCUUGUGGCCUGGGUCCCUGAAUCCCGCCUGUUGCUGACGGUCACCAGUGGACAUGGCUGCAUGGGACCUGCCCUCCCUCUGAGAGGCUCAGCUC
Molecule: RNA transcript, 4053 nt
Organism: Balaenoptera acutorostrata (minke whale)
Lineage: Eukaryota; Metazoa; Chordata; Mammalia; Artiodactyla; Balaenopteridae
Gene: IL17D
Gene name: interleukin 17D
Exons: 4
Source: RefSeq, a predicted model, not a curated record